CUACGUGCCAGCAGCCGCGGUCAUACGUAGGAUCCGAGCGUUAUCCGGAGUGACUGGGCGUAAAGAGUUGCGUAGGUGGUUCGAUAAGCGAAUAGUGAAAUCUGGUGGCUCAACCAUUCAGACUAUUAUUCGAACUGUUGAACUCGAGAGCAGAAGAGGUAGCUGGAAUUUCUAGUGUAGGAGUGAAAUCCGUAGAUAUUAGAAGGAACACCGAUGGCGUAGGCAGGCUACUGGGCUGUUUCUGACACUGAGGCACGAAAGCGUGGGGAGCGAACCGGAUUAGAUACCCGGGUAGUCCACGCCGUAAACGAUGGAUACUAGCUGUUUGGGGUAUCGACCCCCUGAGUAGCGAAGCUAACGCGUUAAGUAUCCCGCCUGUGGAGUACGAUCGCAAGAUUAAAACAUAAAGGAAUUGACGGGGACCCGCACAAGCGGUGGAUCAUGUUCUUUAAUUCGAUGAUAACCGAUAAACCUUACCAGGUCUU
Molecule: ribosomal RNA, 485 nt
Filed under: uncultured bacterium
Lineage: Bacteria
Description: bacterial SSU rRNA
Rfam family: Bacterial small subunit ribosomal RNA
Source: RNAcentral